GGAGCCUUGGCGCAAUGGUAGCGCGUUGGUUUUCGGCCUUGUCUGCCUGUCCACCAAAGGUUGAGGGUUCGAGCCCCUUGGGCUUCG
Transfer RNA from Bipolaris zeicola 26-R-13, 87 nucleotides. It matches the Rfam family "tRNA". Rfam says of the family: Transfer RNA (tRNA) molecules are approximately 80 nucleotides in length. The record is from Rfam. Lineage: Eukaryota; Fungi; Ascomycota; Dothideomycetes; Pleosporales; Pleosporaceae.